UAGGGAAUCUUCGGCAAUGGGGGGAACCCUGACCGAGCAACGCCGCGUGAGUGAAGAAGGUUUUCGGAUCGUAAAGCUCUGUUGUUAAGGAAGAACGAGUGUGAGAAUGGAAAGUUCAUGCUGUGACGGUACUUAACCAGAAAGGGACGGCUAACUACGUGCCAGCAGCCGCGGUAAUACGUAGGUCCCGAGCGUUGUCCGGUUUUAUUGGGCGUAAAGCGAGCGCAGGCGGUUAGAAAAGUCUGAAGUGAAAGGCAGUGGCUCAACCAUUGUAGGCUUUGGAAACUGUUUAACUUGAGUGCAGAAGGGGAGGGUGGAAUUCCAUGUGUAGCGGUGAAAUGCGUAGAUAUAUGGAGGAACACCGGUGGCGAAAGCGGCUCUCUGGUCUGUAACUGACGCUAAGGCUCGAAAGCGUGGGGAGCGAACAGG
RNAcentral lists this ribosomal RNA (429 nucleotides) under Bacteroidota bacterium. Its description in RNAcentral is "Bacteroidetes bacterium partial 16S ribosomal RNA". It matches the Rfam family "Bacterial small subunit ribosomal RNA", at positions 355 to 776 of the family's 1533-position model. Lineage: Bacteria; Pseudomonadati; Bacteroidota. The record is from RNAcentral.